This 627-nucleotide ribosomal RNA is filed under the name uncultured Methanosaeta sp. Its description in RNAcentral is "bacterial SSU rRNA". It matches the Rfam family "Archaeal small subunit ribosomal RNA", at positions 340 to 962 of the family's 1478-position model. The record is from RNAcentral. Lineage: Archaea; Methanobacteriati; Methanobacteriota; Methanomicrobia; Methanotrichales; Methanotrichaceae.
CCACAAACCUUCACAAUCGCGGGAAACCGUGAUAAGGGGAUCUCGAGUGCCAGCAUAUAAUGUUGGCUGUCCAGAUGCUUAAAAAGCAUUUGUUAGCAAGGGCCGGGCAAGACCGGUGCCAGCCGCCGCGGUAACACCGGUGGCCCGAGUGGUAACCGUUAUUAUUGGGCCUAAAGCGUCCGUAGCAGGUUCUGUAAAUCUCCUGUGAAAUUGUCGUGCUUAACGCGACAGCAUGCAAGAGACACUGCAAGACUUGGGACCGGGGGGAGUCAGAGGUAUUUCGUGGGGAGCGGUAAAAUGCUAUAAUCCACGAAGGACCACCUAUGGCGAAGGCAUCUGACUAGAACGGAUCCGACUGUGAGGGACGAAAGCUAGGGGAGCGGACCGGAUUAGAUACCCGAGUAGUCCUAGCUGUAAACGCUGCGAGCUAGGUGUUGCGCAAUCUUAGAGGUUGCCCAGUAUCGGAGCGAAGGUGUUAAGCUCGCCGCCUGGAAAGUACGGUCGCAAGGCUGAAACUUAAAGGAAUUGGCGGGGGAAAGGGCGAAUUCGUUUAAACCUGCAGGACUAGUCCCUUUAGUGAGGGUUAAUUCUGAGCUUGGCGAAAUCAUGGCAUAGCUGUUUUCCGGA